AAAGAACAACCCAACCAAGGGUAAAUUAUUCAUUUUAUAACUUAAUCUUAACGUCCGUUAGAAGAAAGGGUAUUUGUGAUAAUUUUCUAUAUUUGAAGGGUAUAUAUAUAAUAUUUUCAAUUUUAUAGGGGUAUUUACAAUAUUUACAUAUUUAAGAGGGCUAGGGGUGGAAACGAGCCGAGCUUGAGCGAGCUUAUGUCAGCUCAAAUUCGGCUUGAAAUUAAUUUCAAGCCUAAAUCUAGGCUCAAGCUCAGUUUGAAAUUAAUUCGAACCGAGCUCUAGCGAGCCUAAUUUCGAGUCGAGCCGAUCUCGAGCUCUAAACGAGCCGAUUGAAAUUCUCGACAUUAUAUAAUCAAUAGUUCAAUUUUUAUAGAACAUUACUUACAAUUUGAUGCAACAUGUUCAAUAGUUCAAAAUACAAGAUAAUUACAAGAAAUGUGAGCUAGGGUGACUGCCUGACUGGGUGAGGGUGUGUGUGAGAGAGAGAGAGAGAGGGAAAAAAAAUUAGGAAUUUAAGAAUUUGAAUGUUAUCAUGUUUUAGUGUUAUGUGCAACAGUGAAAGUCUGAAAGAGAGAGUGUGUUAUGUAAAUUUAGAGUUUGGCUCACUUGCACGGUUGUACUUGUUGGGUUUAUUUUAUGGGCCAACAAUAAUGGCCCAAAUUAAAUUAAAGCCUAUAUAUAAUUAAAAUAUUAUAUAUAUAUAUAUAUAGUGCGUCUGGUAUGCUCAUGGAAGCACGGAGCGCUCCGUGCUUCCACUUUGUUUUCGAUGUUCGGAUUUUCGAAUCGACGAUNUAUGUAUAAAAUUAAUUAAGCUCCUAUAUUUUUAAAAGUAUCAAGUUAUUGGUAGUUGUAGAUUUUUAUCCAUUGGAUUAAGAGAUGUGCGGUUGGAUGAUGUGGGACCCCUAGUAUUGAGUGGGUGGUUGGUUAAAUAGUAUGAUCUAACGGGUGGAAAUGAUCAUAGGGUAGAUUUAAGGAUAAAAAAUUUAUAAGAAUCAAAUGCUUUGUGCAUUUACAAACACUAUAGCCGGACUAUAUAAAAGUAGAGCUACUAUACUCUUAUAAGUAUAGAGCCUUUCGUACUCAUAAGUUGUUUUCGAUAAUGGCGCUUCCGAAUCGACGAUCCAGUUCGUUAAAUAUGAUUUAGAGUAUUUAAAAUUUUUAAAAAAUAAAUUUUGUAAUUUUUUUUAUAAUAAAGUCUAUCAAAGUGGGCAUAAAAUGAAUUGUCAAAAUCAAACGACGUUCUAAAAAUGGAUGAUCGGAUUCUUCAAUUUAAGAUCAAAGUUAUUGAUUUUUAUCUAGAUAGUGAAUAUAAUUUUCUAUCAAAAAUUCAAUUGAUUCUGAUUCUUUUAUAUCGUUAAACUAGCAAGUAUCCCACCGUUAACAAUUGUCAAUUUUGAGAUUUUUUUAUUGUAAGGUAAAUAAUAUCAAAAAAUUAUAAAAUUUGAUUUUUAAAAGUUUUAAAUGUUCUAGAUGAUGU
RNAcentral lists this long non-coding RNA (1477 nucleotides) under Ananas comosus (pineapple). Its description in RNAcentral is "long non-coding RNA (ACOM_LNC004018)". The record is from RNAcentral. Lineage: Eukaryota; Viridiplantae; Streptophyta; Magnoliopsida; Poales; Bromeliaceae.